This is a non-coding RNA of Sus scrofa (pig), 1601 nucleotides long. The record is from the annotation of a RefSeq genome assembly. Lineage: Eukaryota; Metazoa; Chordata; Mammalia; Artiodactyla; Suidae.
CACCCCCUGUGGCAUCAGCUUGGUGGUCUUUAAGAGAGGUGCUCACUUCCCUGCCUGUCACAUUUAUUCCGAACCCCAGGGUAACUCAGUGCCACUGGCAUGAUGCGGUUCCCGGGGGUACUUCUCGUUUUCCUGGCUCCUGUCACUCAGGUAUCUUCCAACGUGGAAGGGGAUAAGAUGUCAGUCACUAGGGCAACUGGGUCAUCUCUUGUAAUCACUUGCGAUCUCACACAAAACACCAACUAUAUCCACUGGUACAGAUUCCGGGAGGGGACAGUACCCCAACGCCUUCUCUACUAUGACGUCUCCUCCUCAAAGGUUACGUUGGAAUCAGGAAUCAGUCCAGGAAGAUAUCAUGCUUAUCAAAGUGCAGGGAAGAGCUACCAAUUUGUAAUCUCAAAUCUGGAAGAAAGUGAUUCUGGCACGUACUACUGCGCUGUCUGGGAGAAGCACUGUGAUAACUGGAAGAAGAUAUUUGGAAAGGCACUGGAGCUCAUAGUAGCUCCCUAUGAUAUAAACCUUGCUUCAGACAUUUCCCCCAAGCCCACAGUGUUUCUUCCUUCGAUUGCUGAGAUAAAGCUCCAUAAUGCUGGAACAUACCUUUGUCUUCUGGAGAAUUUUUUUCCUAAUGUUAUUAAGGUUUAUUGGAAAGAAAAGAAUGGCAACAAAGUGCUGGAAUCCCAGCAGGGAAAUACCAUGAGGACGACUAACACAUACAUGAAAUUCAGCUGGUUGACUGUGAGCAAAACAGCCAUGGAUAAAGAACACAAGUGUGUCGUCAAACACGAGAAAAAUAGAGGGGGAGUUGAUCAAGAGAUUAUUUUUCCUUCAGUGAAUGAAGUUGUCUCCUCAGCUGUCAUGCCUACUGAUUCUCCAAAUGAUUGCUUGAAGGAUGAAAGUAAAGUCUCUGAUAGUGAUUCUAGAAAGGCCUGUGUAAGAAAUGAAAGUGAAGUCACUAAUUCUACAAAAGCUUGUCUGAAAGAUGAAAGCAAUACCCUGCAGCUGCAGCUCGAGAACACCUCUGCCUACUACACCUACCUCCUCCUCCUCCUCAAGAGUUCCCUCUACUUCGCCACCACCAUCUCCUGUCUGUUUAGGAGAACAGUCUGCAGCAGUGGGAAGACCUCCUGACAGAUGGUGCCACCAAGGGCUCAACUUCGCUUCAGCAUCAUUGUCUCUACAAGUGUCUGCUGAGGAUCUAGCUGGGCUUCCUUUCUGGGUUUGGCUUCUUUCAGAGAAUGUGUACAUCUUUCUGUAAGGUCAACAUUGUGUAGGUUUUUUCAAACCACUGGGCAAACAGACCCUUGCACUGCAUAACAAGGAAUUCUGCCAUGACUCAGGGCAGGGCUGAGGGCUGGUCCACAGGAGCCUUUCCCACCACUGUCCCUCAGUGUCAGCAGCUCCUCCGGCUGCCUGAGUCCUCUUGCCUCGUGAGCACACACAGCACAGCACACAGCUCCCUGUCUCCUCCCUCAGGGCUCCACCCAGACCACAGCCCUGACCUUCCCUGUACACAUCUGGAGCCCCCAGCUUUGCUGCUUCAAUUCUGUUCUCUGGUUUUCAUAAUAGGCACAAUCAAUUAAAAAGAUAUCCAAACUCUA